UCUGAUAGACAGAAAACAGCUGUUUUAAAUCUCAGAAACAGGACUCUAAAGUCCUGGCUGGAAGAACUGUUUCUAAAUAUCCUUUCCCUUAAGGAACAACUUCCUGCAUUAAAAAAAAAACCCUGUGGAAAGUUUGUUGCUUUGCCCUGCUCCCCACGUGUUUUGUGAAAUUACAAAAUAUAUAUAUAAAAAUGGGUACUACAUUCUUUGACAAUUAUAUGGCAGCUGAAGAAGUAGGGGCAUUGAGGAAUGAAGGAUACCUCCAAAUUUUUAUAUUAAUAGGUACUGUCAUUUUUGUACUCCUCAAUACUAUAUUUAGAGAUGAAAAAAUAAAAAAUAUUGAGGAUAAAAUAAAACAAAAUGAGGAUAAAAUAAAACAAAAUGAGGAUAAAAUAAAACAAAAUGAGGAUAAAAUAAAACAAAAUGAGGAUAAAAUAGAAAAUAUUGAGGAUAAAAUAGAAAAUGUUGAGGAUAAAAUAGAAAAAAAUGAGGAUAAAAUAGAAAAUAUUGAGGAUAAAAUAGAAAAAAUUGAGGAUAAAAUAGAAAAAAUUGAGGAUACAAUAGAAAAAAUUGAGGAUAAAAUAGGAAAUAUUGAGAAUAAAAUAGAAAAACUUGAGGAUAAAAUAGGAAAUAUUGAGAAUAAAAUAGGAAAUAUUGAGGAUAAAAUGGGAGAUAUGGAAGAUAAAAUAGGAAAAAUUGAGGAAAAAAUGCAAGCCCAAUUAGAAGAUCUAAAAUGUUUCUUACAGGAUCAAUGGGCAAACACCCACUCUACCAGAAACAGACCUGUUUCUGAACCUUUGAAUGAGGAAAUUUCCUUCCCUGAAAUAGAGAUGGAAAACACCUUCCCUAUAGCCCAGUUAACAGACUGCUUCUCUCGUGUAGUGCAAAUCUUGUCUGAAUUUAAUCCCCAAAACCCUUCCCCUGCAAUCCCAGCUUCUCAUGUUCCUUCUCCUACAGAAAACCAAAUUCCAAUGCAAGGGAGAUCUUGUCCUCCUAGAGAAACCUGUCCUUGUCAAACUGACCCACAGGUGCAAAAUUCAACUAGAGGCCUGUUUCCUCUAAGAGAAGUACCUGAAAUAGGACGAAAUGGGGAUGUGGUGACUUUAAGACAUAGGAUACCGUUUACUCCCCAAGAAAUAAAUGAAUUUACACGAAAUAUCCCCACAUAUGAACAAGAUCCUUUUCUAGUAACAAAAAAGAUGGGAGACAUAUUUUUUCAAUAUAAUCCGUCUUACAAGGACGUUGAGAGCUUACUACAGGCUUUUUUAAGUGAACGUGAAAAAAAUAAAAUAAUUGCUCAUGUCAACAAAACCCGGGGGCGUAAUGCAGCACAUUGGCCAUCUCAGGAUCCCGAAUGGGACUAUAAUAAUCCUGAGGACUAUCUACAACUAUACCGUUGUAGAGAGGUCAUCCUCACGUCCAUGAAGGAAUGUGCAGACAAUACAGAUAAGUGGAUGGAACUGGAAAAAAUAAGCAAAAGGCCGAAGAA
RNAcentral lists this long non-coding RNA (1489 nucleotides) under Monodelphis domestica (gray short-tailed opossum). Its description in RNAcentral is "lncRNA (ENSMODG00000043773.1)". Lineage: Eukaryota; Metazoa; Chordata; Mammalia; Didelphimorphia; Didelphidae. The record is from RNAcentral.